UACGGAGGGUGCGAGCGUUGUCCGGAAUCACUGGGCGUAAAGGGCGCGUAGGCGGCAGGCCAAGCGUGCGGUGAAAGUCCGGGGCUCAACCCCGGAUCUGCCGUGCGGACUGGUUUGCUAGAGCACUGUAGAGGCGAGUGGAAUUCCGGGUGUAGCGGUGGAAUGCGUAGAGAUCGGGAAGAACAUCAGUGGCGAAGGCGGCCUGCUGGGCUGUUGCUGACGCUGAGGCGCGACAGCGUGGGGAGCAGACAGG
RNAcentral lists this ribosomal RNA (253 nucleotides) under uncultured bacterium. RNAcentral describes it as "partial 16S ribosomal RNA". It matches the Rfam family "Bacterial small subunit ribosomal RNA", at positions 524 to 776 of the family's 1533-position model. The record is from RNAcentral.